RNAcentral lists this ribosomal RNA (462 nucleotides) under uncultured bacterium. RNAcentral describes it as "partial 16S ribosomal RNA". It matches the Rfam family "Bacterial small subunit ribosomal RNA", at positions 28 to 507 of the family's 1533-position model. The record is from RNAcentral.
GAUGAACGCUGACAGAAUGCUUAACAUAUGCAAGUCAUUGGCGAAGCUGCGCUUGCGCAGUCUAGCCAAGGCGGACGGGUGAGUAACGCGUAAGGAACUUGCCCUGCAGACAGGGAUAACAGACGGAAACGACUGAUAACACCUGGUAUUGUCAGGCUGGCGCAUGCCGGCCUGAUGAAAGGAGACGCUGCAGGAGAGCCUUGCGUCCUAUUAGCUAGUUGGUGGGGUAACGGCCCACCAAGGCGAUGAUAGGUAGCCGGCCUGAGAGGGUGAACGGCCACAAGGGGACUGAGAUACGGCCCUUACUCCUACGGGAGGCAGCAGUGGGGAAUAUUGGACAAUGGGGGCAACCCUGAUCCAGCAAUUCUGUGUGCACGAAGAAGGUUUUCGGAUUGUAAAGUGCUUUCAGCAGGGAAGAAGAAAGUGACGGUACCUGCAGAAGAAGCGACGGCUAAAUACGUG